UGGAGCCGUCCCUCACAGCCCUCGGCUCCAAAUCUGUUUAUUGCUCCAGAGGCUGUUUUUCCAAGAACCUCGCUGCUUUAUAACAGCCAGAGCUCUCCCUUAAAACCCUGCCUCUCCAGCGAGGGCUCGCGUCACACUCAGCACGGAGGUGGGCGAGGAACAAAAAUAGACAAAUUAAGAAAACCUCAAAAGGCCAAAAAAAUGAAAAUGAACUGUGCAUCUCUUGGAAAACUUCUGAAGACUGUGUAGGGACAAGAUGCUCCAAGUGGUGACCAGUGAGACCCCGCGGUGCCUUUGUGGGUGAUGGCUUCGGAAAGUUUAAGGCACAGAAUGGAGCAGGAUGUGGUGACUGGGACUGGAAUUUGCCUAAAUGCAGGCUAUGGGAUGAUUCAGGGAUGGAACAAUGCCUCUCCCCUAAGGUAAGGACAUAAUGACCACUGCACUAUGUAAUUAUGUGACAUAUAAUAGUUUAACGUGUGCCUUUCAAAGAAUUCAGCUUGCUGCCAGCUCCCAAUCUCUCCACACAGCCAUAACAUAGAGAUUUUAUUCUUCCCCUGAUACAGAAUCCCAGUAAAUAAACAGUGGUCUUUAGAUAAAAUAAUAUUACCUUAAACACGUGACCAGCAUGUUCAGUCAGCUGUGAACUCAAACAAAGAGCUCGGACACAGUUUAGUGGAAAAAACCCACUCAACAUAUCAAACCACAAAUGGAUUUGUUUUCCUGAGGUAGUGAGAUGGGGGAGGAGGAGGAAAACCACCUCCUGCCCUGCAGGAGAGGGAUCUAUUUAG
Long non-coding RNA from Ficedula albicollis (Collared flycatcher), 788 nucleotides. RefSeq lists it as uncharacterized. The transcript is spliced from 3 exons. The record is from RefSeq and is a predicted model, not a curated record. NCBI's taxonomy places the organism in Eukaryota, Metazoa, Chordata, Aves, Passeriformes, Muscicapidae.